Molecule: long non-coding RNA, 461 nt
Filed under: Mus spretus (western wild mouse)
Lineage: Eukaryota; Metazoa; Chordata; Mammalia; Rodentia; Muridae
Description: lncRNA (ENSMSPG00010003791.1)
Source: RNAcentral
AGUUCAGCACCUGUGAAGCAAAGCCAAGAAGUGGCACCUGCAGGCUGGCAGAGCUAUCGCUGGUCCUGAAGCUGAGAGACAGUUUCUUAGAGGGAAGUCAGAAGUCGCCCACACAAUCUUCACAGACACCAGCUUUACCAUAACAUUUGAAUACAGUGGCAACUUCCUGUCCCGAAGCCUCGCCUUUUCUGGUACUUCUGCCCGAGCAACUGUAGGGUUCCCAGGAACAUCUUGACUGAGUUCCCCACUUCCACGACACCAUGGUGGCAGGUGCCGAACAUCUCCUGGUCACCUGUGAUGUAUCAAAUCCACAAAUAUCUCUGGAGAAACACCUCUGAAGGGCCAACAGGGAUAGUAGCAAGCAGCGGAAACUGUCCCUGAAGCCAAAUGGAGCCUUCCCUUGGUCACCGUGGCUUUUUGGAACACCACAUUUUCCUAGUUUUUCUACAAAUCAAUUUUCU